UGGGUGUGUUCUGUUUUCUUGGACAGGUGCCUUAUUUUUCCGGCGAGGAUUUCCGGCAAGCUACAGUACUUCCGGCGACUCCUGUUCAGACUUUUGGCAGGAGGCAAUAGAACUAAACGUUCCUAUAAGCUUCAGGAGAACUUGGGCGCAUCAAAGCCUACUUUCAGGUUUUUCCACCGGGAGUUGGUACCUCCCGCUAUCUUGUUUACUUUGUACACCUUUUUACGUA
RNAcentral lists this long non-coding RNA (229 nucleotides) under Nicotiana benthamiana. Its description in RNAcentral is "long non-coding RNA (NBEN_LNC030495)". Lineage: Eukaryota; Viridiplantae; Streptophyta; Magnoliopsida; Solanales; Solanaceae. The record is from RNAcentral.